GUAGUCCACGCCCUAAACGAUGCACACUAGACUGGAGCGGCUCUGACGUCGUUCUGGUCGUAGAGAAAUUGAUAAGUGUGCCGCCUGGGGAGUACGGUCGCAAGGCUAAAACCCAAAGGAAUUGACGGGGGCUCACACAAGCGGUGGAGCAUGUUGCUUAAUUCGAAGCAACGCGAAGAACCUUACCUGGGUUUGACAUGCUUGGAUUAACUCCUUGAAAGAGGAGCCACACUCGCAAGAGUGGAACAAGCACAGGUGCUGCAUGGCUGUCGUCAGCUCGUGCUGUGAAGUGUCGGGUUAAGUCCCUUAACGAGCGCAACCCUUGUCGUUAGUUGCUAACAGGUAAUGCUGAGGACUCUAACGAGACUGCCGGUGUCAAACCGGAGGAAGGUGGGGAUGACGUCAAGUCCUCAUGGCCCUUACAUCCAGGGUUGCAAACGUGCUACAAUGGUGCGUACAGAGCGACGCAAGACCGCAAGGUGGAGCAAAUCGCAAAAAACGCACCUCAGUUCGGAUUGCAGGCUGCAACUCGCCUGCAUGAAGCUGGAAUCGCUAGUAAUCGGAGAUCAGCUACGCUCCGGUGAAUAAGUUCCUGAGCCUUGUACACACCGCCCGUCAAGUCAUGGGAGCCGGUAGUGCCCGAAGUCGCCAAGUUUCAUUGGUGCCAACGGCAAGAUCGGUGACUGGGACU
RNAcentral lists this ribosomal RNA (691 nucleotides) under uncultured bacterium. RNAcentral's name for it is "bacterial SSU rRNA". It matches the Rfam family "Bacterial small subunit ribosomal RNA", at positions 790 to 1482 of the family's 1533-position model. The record is from RNAcentral.